RNAcentral lists this long non-coding RNA (813 nucleotides) under Homo sapiens (human). RNAcentral describes it as "HSALNT0087334". Lineage: Eukaryota; Metazoa; Chordata; Mammalia; Primates; Hominidae. The record is from RNAcentral.
CUCCCUUUGUAUGGCAGUUCUGUUUUCACUCUAUUAAAUCUUGCAACUGCACACUCCUCUGGUCCCUGUUUGUUAUGUCUCAAGCUGAGGUUUCGCUAGCCGUCCACCACUGCUAUUUGCUGCCGUGGCAGACCUGCUGCUGACUUCCACCCCUCUGGAUCCGGAAGGGAGUCUGCUGUACUCCUGAUCCAGCAAGGUGCCCAUUGCUACUCCUGAUCGGACUAAAGGCUUGCCAUUGUUCCUGCACAGCUAAGUGUCCGGGUUCAUCCUAAUUGAGCUGAACACUAGUCGCUGGGUUCCACCAUUCUCUUCCAUGACCCGCGGCUUCUAAUAGAGCUAUAACACUCACCGCAUGGCCCAAGAUUCCAUUCCUUGGAAUCCAUGAGGCCAAGAACCCCAGGUCAGAGAACAAGAGGCUUGCUACCAUCUUGGAAGCGGCCCGCCACCAUCUUGGGAGCUCUGGGAGCAAGCACCUCCGUUAUAUGGAGUACAUGAGUGAAAGAAUGUGCUGCACACCUUCUGUAUGGCUUUGUGAAAGUCACGUAACUUCUUUGGAACUUAGCUUCUUUAUCUGUAAAGGGUAGAAAUACAACUCUGUUGGGAACAUGGAACACAGAGUAUUAUGAGACUGCAGGCUCAAAGAAUAUCUGGGAGAUUAAAGUAGUCAUUCAGAAAAGAAGAUAUGAGAAUUAGAACAAAGGAAGCAAGAUUUCUGCAUUGUUUCUAAUUAUUCACAAGAACUCCUAUAAGAUAUAUGUCUACAAUUUAAAGAUUUAAUGAAGCACAUAAAAAGAUGAAUAUGCAAAAUUCAGC